UUAAGUGACGAUAGCCUAGGAGAUACACCUGUUCCCAUGCCUAACACAGAAGUUAAGCCCUAGUACGCCUGAUGUAGUUGGGGGUUGCCCCCUGUUAGAUACGGUAGUCGCUUAGC
RNAcentral lists this ribosomal RNA (116 nucleotides) under Streptococcus thermophilus. Lineage: Bacteria; Bacillati; Bacillota; Bacilli; Lactobacillales; Streptococcaceae. The record is from RNAcentral.